This 252-nucleotide ribosomal RNA is filed under the name uncultured bacterium. RNAcentral's name for it is "partial 16S ribosomal RNA". It matches the Rfam family "Bacterial small subunit ribosomal RNA", at positions 15 to 252 of the family's 1533-position model. The record is from RNAcentral.
GAUACUGGCUCAGGAUGAACGCUAGCUACAGGCUUAACACAUGCAAGUCGAGGGGUCAGCAUUUUCAGUUUGCUUUGCAAACUGGAGAUGGCGACCGGCGCACGGGUGAGUAACACGUAUCCAACCUGCCGAUAAACUCGGGGGAUAGCCUUUCGAAAGAAAGAUUAAUACCCGAUGGUAUAAUUAGACCGCAUGGUCUUGUUAUUAAAGAAUUUCGGUUAUCGAUGGGGAUGCGUUCCAUUAGGCAGUUGG